This 465-nucleotide ribosomal RNA is filed under the name uncultured bacterium. RNAcentral's name for it is "partial 16S ribosomal RNA". It matches the Rfam family "Bacterial small subunit ribosomal RNA", at positions 338 to 795 of the family's 1533-position model. The record is from RNAcentral.
CCUACGGGCGGCUGCAGUAGGGAAUCUUCCACAAUGGGCGAAAGCCUGAUGGAGCAACGCCGCGUGGGUGAAGAAGGUCUUCGGAUCGUAAAACCCUGUUGUUAGAGAAGAAAGUGCGUGAGAGUAACUGUUCACGUUUCGACGGUAUCUAACCAGACAGCCACGUCUAACUACGUGCCAGCAGCCGCGGUAAUACGUAGGUGGCAAGCGUUAUCCGGAUUUAUUGGGCGUAAAGGGAACGCAGGCGGUCUUUUAAGUCUGAUGUGAAAGCCUUCGGCUUAACCGGAGUAGUGCAUUGGAAACUGGGAGACUUGAGUGCAGAAGAGGAGAGUGGAACUCCAUGUGUAGCGGUGAAAUGCAUAGAUAUUACACAGAACACCGAUUGCGAAGGCAGCUUGCUAGGCCGGAUCUGACACUGAUGCACGAAAGCGUGGGGAUCGAACAGGAUUAGAUACCCCGGUAGUC